RNAcentral lists this ribosomal RNA (325 nucleotides) under bacterium E-1-0-10G. Its description in RNAcentral is "bacterial SSU rRNA". It matches the Rfam family "Bacterial small subunit ribosomal RNA", at positions 365 to 681 of the family's 1533-position model. The record is from RNAcentral.
UGGACAUGGGGGGACCCUGAUCCAGCCAUGCCGCGUGUGUGAAGAAAGGGCCUUUUGGUUGUAAAGCACUUUAAGCGAGGAGGAGGAGCUCUUGGUUAAUACCCAAGAUGCUUGGACGUUACUCGCAGAAUAAGCACCGGCUAACUCUGUGCCAGCAGCCGCGGUAAUACAGAGGGUGCAAGCGUUAAUCGGAUUUACUGGGCGUAAAGCGCGCGUAGGUGGCCAAUUAAGUCAAAUGUGAAAUCCCCGAGCUUAACUUGGGAAUUGCAUUCGAUACUGGUUGGCUAGAGUAUGGGAGAGGAUGGUAGAAUUCCAGGUGUAGCGG